Clupea harengus (Atlantic herring) is the source of this 862-nucleotide long non-coding RNA. The record is from Ensembl. Lineage: Eukaryota; Metazoa; Chordata; Actinopteri; Clupeiformes; Clupeidae.
GUGUCACAUUUUAUUACAAAGUAUCAAAGCACUGUCACUCUUUGUUACUUGGUAUAACUACACACUGCACUUUAUGGUGUAGUUUUUGUGCCUAGUUUUGUGCCUAGAAGGUUCUAGAAUGUGCCUAGUUUGCCUAGUUUUGUGUACUGUUUGUGAUUUAUGCUUGUUUACGUUAUGUGUGGGGUCGAUACCAGAGAGUCCCCCUUUUAAAUAAAAGAGAAUAUUGUUGUAUAGAAAAGCCACCAUCUCCUGCACCCUUCUUCCUAACUUCACCAGCCAGUCCAGUCGCCACAUCCCAAAAACGUGGGGUGGUCGCUUCGGUCCCUCACACGGAGGUAGGAAACAUGAAGUAUAAGACACUGUACUUUACGGUGUAGUUACGGAGGUAGGAAACAUGAAGUAUAACACACUGUACUUUACGGUGUAGUUACGGAGGUAGGAAACAUGAAGUAUAAGACACUGUACUUUACGGUGUAGUUACGGAGGUAGGAAUCAUAAAGUGUGAGUUUUACCGUCUGGGUUUCCCUCUCAGUCAUAGCCCUCAAAGCUCAGACUCGUCUCCAGGAAGAUGUCUAAUUCAGGCUGAUCUUUCAUUUAGCUCGCAUCCGGUCGUUAAUCAUUAAUCAAUCAUUAUAUUGCUUUAUUGAUUAUACUUCAGUGCCAGUAGCAGACAAUGAAGAGGAAGGCUUUUCUUUGGGGACUGUCAAUACUACUAGUGUUACCACUAUAACUGGGACUGAUGCUCAUAAUAAUAAUAAUAAUAAAAAUAAUGAUAAUAAUAACAUAAUCAAUACUACCACUAUUACUGGGACAGCUACUCAUAAUAAUAAUAAUGAUAGUAUCUCUAUAGUGUCUCUUUACA